GAAAUGCGAUACUUGGUGUGAAUUGCAGAAUCCCGUGAACCAUCGAGUCUUUGAACGCAAGUUGCGCCCGAAGCCAUUAGGCCGAGGGCACACCUGCCUGGAAUGUCGAU
RNAcentral lists this unclassified non-coding RNA (110 nucleotides) under uncultured fungus. RNAcentral describes it as "sequence contains ITS1". It matches the Rfam family "5.8S ribosomal RNA", at positions 50 to 154 of the family's 154-position model. Rfam says of the family: 5.8S ribosomal RNA (5.8S rRNA) is a component of the large subunit of the eukaryotic ribosome. It is transcribed by RNA polymerase I as part of the 45S precursor that also contains 18S and 28S rRNA. Functionally, it is thought that 5.8S rRNA may be involved in ribosome translocation. The record is from RNAcentral. Lineage: Eukaryota; Fungi.